AACGGACGCUAUACGCNAUAAUAUUUUGAACCGCAUGGUUCAAAAGUGAAAGACGGUCUUGCUGUCACUUAUAGAUGGAUCCGCGCUGCAUUAGCUAGUUGGUAAGGUAACGGCUUACCAAGGCAACGAUGCAUAGCCGACCUGAGAGGGUGAUCGGCCACACUGGAACUGAGACACGGUCCAGACUCCUACGGGAGGCAGCAGCG
Molecule: ribosomal RNA, 206 nt
Filed under: uncultured Staphylococcus sp.
Lineage: Bacteria; Bacillati; Bacillota; Bacilli; Caryophanales; Staphylococcaceae
Description: partial 16S ribosomal RNA
Rfam family: Bacterial small subunit ribosomal RNA
Source: RNAcentral